This 267-nucleotide ribosomal RNA is filed under the name uncultured bacterium. RNAcentral describes it as "partial 16S ribosomal RNA". It matches the Rfam family "Bacterial small subunit ribosomal RNA", at positions 524 to 795 of the family's 1533-position model. The record is from RNAcentral.
UACGUAGGGCGCAAGCGUUGUCCGGAAUUAUUGGGCGUAAAGAGCUCGUAGGCGGUUCUGCGCUCCGUGAAGAACCCGGGGCUCAACCCCGGGUCUGCAGUGGGUACGGGCAGACUAGAGUGCAGUAGGGGAGACUGGAAUUCCUGGUGUAGCGGUGAAAUGCGCAGAUAUCAGGAGGAACACCGAUGGCGAAGGCAGGUCUCUGGGCUGUUACUGACGCUGAGGAGCGAAAGCAUGGGGAGCGAACAGGAUUAGAUACCCGGCGUC